Molecule: ribosomal RNA, 562 nt
Filed under: Triticum aestivum (bread wheat)
Lineage: Eukaryota; Viridiplantae; Streptophyta; Magnoliopsida; Poales; Poaceae
Description: partial small subunit ribosomal RNA
Source: RNAcentral
UGGAAGGGAUACGUAUUUGCACAGGAGGUGAUAUUUACUUUUAGUCCCAACAUUACAAGAAUGUAAGCAUCCUCAAUGGUCAUCUCAACGUGGCAGGCAGCGGCCCGCAGCGACGAGGAGCAGGAGCAGAGCGACCUAAGGCUCGAGAAGAAGCAUGGCUCUUGUAUCACCAGCUGCGCAGAGGGACCGCUCGCCGUUGUCCUUGGCUAUGGUGCUUGGGAUUUUUGAACGGUAGGUAGCACGGUGAAGCGAACUUUUCCCCCCUUAUCAGAGGCUCAGAGCUUCCUAGUUGGGGUGAGGAAAAUUCUGGGAACCGUGUCGCGAGUUGGACGUCUACCGACUGAAAUUGGAAUGCAUGGAAACGGUGCUCUCUUCCCUGCUGUCAAAAAAUGACUGCAGCGUCUACACCCCACAUGUGGCUGAAUACAAUCAUUUUCGUGGAGACGUGAGCCGACCGGCCAUGCCGACCAGCCACAGGUCUCACUCUCAAGUCGUCCUUCUUGAGUCUUCUCCACUUAGCAAUAUGUGUGGGCCUCUUUAAAAGUCAUAUGGGGAUUAUUAC